UUUUUCGGUCUGGGAUGGACUCGCGGCCUAUCAGCUUGUUGGUGAGGUAAUGGCUCACCAAGGCGUCGACGGGUAGCCGGCCUGAGAGGGUGACCGGCCACACUGGGACUGAGACACGGCCCAGACUCCUACGGGAGGCAGCAGUGGGGAAUAUUGCACAAUGGGCGCAAGCCUGAUGCAGCAACGCCGCGUGCGGGAUGACGGCCUUCGGGUUGUAAACCGCUUUUAGUAAGGAAGAAGGGGAGCUUGCUCCUGACGGUACUGCA
This 266-nucleotide ribosomal RNA is filed under the name soil bacterium 8V-10. RNAcentral describes it as "partial 16S ribosomal RNA". It matches the Rfam family "Bacterial small subunit ribosomal RNA", at positions 211 to 483 of the family's 1533-position model. The record is from RNAcentral.